Molecule: long non-coding RNA, 1215 nt
Organism: Erinaceus europaeus (western European hedgehog)
Lineage: Eukaryota; Metazoa; Chordata; Mammalia; Eulipotyphla; Erinaceidae
Exons: 2
Source: RefSeq, a predicted model, not a curated record
CUCAUUCCCAUUUCCCCAGCAGAGGUUGACUUUAUUUACUUUCUAUGAGAUAGAGUUUUGAAUGAGAGAGAGAGAGAGCAGAGCACCCUUCCAGCACGUGUUGGCACCACCAGCCCCAGCGCCUCCACCCACCGCGGGAGCCGUGUCCCUGGCCACUCCGUGCCCCAUUUUCAUGGCACAUCCUAAUUAAAAAUGAAUGUUAGAAUGUAGAAGAUAAAAGGCAUAGUGACUCUGCCUCCUAAUUAAUCUGUGGUGUGUGCAGCUUUGCUUUCAAGUUGUGUGGUGACGGGGAUGAGGUUUGGUCUAUAUGAGACGCUCUCCACGGGGACCUUGGGAGAGGCACAGCCGUGUCACCAGGAGAAGCGCCUUUCUGUGUGACUUCUCCCUGCCUGGUGUGAGACAGAAUCCCAGCAAGAAUCUACAGAGAGAAGCCGUUUUGCAGAUUUUCAGGUGGCUUAAAGGCCUGAAGAGUCACACCAGCCCUCCUUCCUGCUUACCACCCGCUGGAGGCAGAGCCCUGACUCCCAGCCGCCAGCCACCAGCCCCCAGCACACACACUGCUAUCCACCUUCUUCUCAACAAAGUGACGGGCAGGCCCACUGGAGUGAGUGAACUUGAUCUUACAGUUGUGGGUUCCAGUUGUGGGUUCUCUCUUUCUGCCAAAGCUGGGGGGCAGGGGUGAAUGCUGAGUUCUAAGUGGCUGGAGGAGGCCAGCUUGGAGCCAGAGGUCCUGGGCCAGGCCGGCUGAAGAGACUUGCCAGGGGACAGGACCAUCCCCUGGGACGGCAGAAGCCUGGAGGGCCUGGGCUCGCUGAGCAGGAGCAGAAAGCCCGGCUCCCAACUAAUGAGAGAUUCUCCACAAGCAGCAGAAGCAGUACCGCAGCCCUAAUAGAAUUUCAAUGAGCUCAAUGCCUCUUUCCGCCCAAGUUCAGCCACUCAGGGAAGAGACAAUUACCUUGUGAAAAUGGAACACUCUCUCUAUAUUAUCCCUUCAUUAAAAUAUUCAAAUCAAGGUAACAACACCGGUUCCAAGCUCAUUUAUAAAGAAAAAUAACAUUAAUGCAUUUUAACACUAAUGCAUUUAGCUCUGAGCACUCACUUCCCAGAGAUGUUAAAAUGUGAAGUUUGUAAAAUGCUCAGCGAUGUUGAACUUGGAUUGCAACCUAAUGCUUGAAUUGCUACAUUUAACAUUAAAAGCAUGUUAUUAAUCUUCAA